CCCUCCCUCUGGCGGCAUGCCUAACACAUGCAAGUCGAACGAGACCUUCGGGUCUAGUGGCGCACGGGUGCGUAACGCGUGGGAACCUGCCCUUAGGUUCGGAAUAACUCCCCGAAAGGGGUGCUAAUACCGGAUAAUGUCCUCGGACCAAAGAUUUAUCGCCUUUGGAUGGGCCCGCGUUGGAUUAGCUAGUUGGUAGGGUAAAAGCCUACCAAGGCGACGAUCCAUAGCUGGUCUGAGAGGAUGAUCAGCCACACUGGGACUGAGACACGGCCCAGACUCCUACGGGAGGCAGCAGUGGGGAAUAUUGGACAAUGGGCGAAAGCCUGAUCCAGCAAUGCCGCGUGAGUGAUGAAGGCCUUAGGGUUGUAAAGCUCUUUUACCCGGGAUGAUAAUGACAGUACCGGGAGAAUAAGCUCCGGCUAACUCCGUG
This 433-nucleotide ribosomal RNA is filed under the name uncultured bacterium. RNAcentral's name for it is "partial 16S ribosomal RNA". It matches the Rfam family "Bacterial small subunit ribosomal RNA", at positions 36 to 507 of the family's 1533-position model. The record is from RNAcentral.